RNAcentral lists this ribosomal RNA (253 nucleotides) under uncultured bacterium. Its description in RNAcentral is "partial 16S ribosomal RNA". It matches the Rfam family "Bacterial small subunit ribosomal RNA", at positions 524 to 776 of the family's 1533-position model. RNAcentral also lists the same sequence under 1 other name. The record is from RNAcentral.
UACAGAGGUGGCAAGCGUUGUUCGGAAUUACUGGGCGUAAAGGGCGCGUAGGCGGUUUUGUAAGUCAGACGUGAAAUCCCCAGGCUUAACUUGGGAACUGCGUCUGAUACUGCAAAACUUGAGUGCGGGAGAGGGAUGUGGAAUUCCAGGUGUAGCGGUGAAAUGCGUAGAUAUCUGGAGGAACACCGGUGGCGAAGGCGGCAUCCUGGACCGACACUGACGCUGAGGCGCGAAAGCUAGGGGAGCAAACGGG